Molecule: long non-coding RNA, 629 nt
Organism: Panicum virgatum (switchgrass)
Lineage: Eukaryota; Viridiplantae; Streptophyta; Magnoliopsida; Poales; Poaceae
Exons: 2
Source: RefSeq, a predicted model, not a curated record
CUCUAUUGUAUCUGGUUUUGUAUCCUUCCCCAUCCGGUAAGCAUCUUUGCCUAGCGAUUCCACUUGCCAUCUCCAUCUCGCAAGCCCUCCCUGCCACUCUGCUCCCACAUGUGACUCCCCUGCCGCCACACCUCCAUUGCCGGCCUACUCGGCCCCUGCACCUCCACUGCCGGCACACCUAGAUGCCGCCACCCCCUCCCUGCCGGUGAGGCUGGGUGCCGGCGCUCCUCAGAGCCGCCCUCCUCCCUGUCGCGAGGCUGUAACUGGCGCGUGGCUGGCAUCCCGGCGACUCGGUGCCGCCCCCCUCUGGGCCGUGGUGCUGGUGCUGGUGCUGGCGGUGGACGGCUUCGGCGAGCGGUGCGCCGGAGGAGGACGGAGGGAGGAGGAAGAAGGCUUACUAGGACAUGGUGCUAGGAAUCGGCUGUCAAGUUACUAUGGUUUAAAGAAGUUCUCCCAGCCUGUCCGAAACAAACAAGUAUUGAUGAAUAUUUCAUCAGAAGCCAUCUCGCUAGUAAAACAAAUGUGAUUGUUGCAGAUUUUGCCUCCCAUAUGUAUUUCGUUGUAUACGUGGGGAAAGGAAAAUUCAAUAAUGUAUAAUGUGCGUAUAGUCAAUGAUAAUUCUUCAUAAA